This 267-nucleotide ribosomal RNA is filed under the name uncultured soil bacterium. RNAcentral describes it as "partial 16S ribosomal RNA". It matches the Rfam family "Bacterial small subunit ribosomal RNA", at positions 26 to 302 of the family's 1533-position model. The record is from RNAcentral.
AGAUUGAACGCUGGCGGCAUGCCUAACACAUGCAAGUCGAACGGGAGUAGCAAUACUCUAGUGGCGGACGGGUGAGGAAUACGUAGGAAUUUGCCCUUAAGUGGGGGAUAACCCGGGGAAACCCGGAAUUAAUACCGCAUGACCUCGAAAGAGCAAAGGUGGGGGAUCGCAAGACCUCACGUCUUUUGGAGAGCCUACGUCGGAUUAGCUAGUUGGUGAGGUAAUGCUCACCGAAGGCGACGAUCCGUAACGUACGUCGUGAGAGGA